GGGUUGUUUGUCAAAUAUUUAUAUUUACUUUUCACAGAUGUGGCUUGGGCUGUGGAGCAUCACUCCAUUUCCACUGUCUGUACUGAGCAACUACAGUUUUAAGAAGUGAUGAUUUUGAAAAUCAUUCACAUGUUUGUAAACAUAAACAGCAUCCCACUUCAGCUAAAAUGCCACCAGUGUAACAGUGCCCACGCCAGCGGUCAGAGGCACACCAUCAACCACCAGUGCAACAGUGCCCACGACAAUGGUUAGAGACACGCCAUCAACCACCAGUGCAACAGUGCCCACGACAAUGGUUAGAGACACAUCAUCAACCACCAGUGCAACAGUGCCCAUGCCAGUGGUUAGAGACACACCAUCAACCACCAGUGCAACACUGCCCAAGCCAGUGGUCAGAGACACACCACCAACCACCAAUGCAACAGUGCCCAAGUCAGCGGUCAGAGAUACACCAUCAACCACCAGUGCAACAGUGAAUGCAUCAGUAGUUAGACUGUGGGGUUUUCAUGAUGAUGUAUGCUCUGCACAUUGACUUGGGUGCACCCUUUGAUUUUACCUCUACCACACUAGCCACCCCCUGAAAGACGAUUCUAAAUCAACCAAAAAUGUAUGUUUCUGGACAGAAGCCUUUGUUCAGGAGUCACUUCCAAAAGGAGAACAAGGCACUUCCAGCAGCAAUUAGGAGCUACCGAUAAUUAAAAACCUCAAAACAGUUGUGAAAUGGCUGCAUGGAAGUGAACAGCAGCUCAGGGGCACAGGUGCAGAGGACAAGAAAAGGGUCAUCCGCAAUCUUUUUGAAGAACCAGAACUUUCCAGAGAGACCUUCACAUUUAAUUUUCUUUUUAGGGAUGACAUGGA
This is a long non-coding RNA of Myxocyprinus asiaticus (Chinese sucker), 858 nucleotides long. RefSeq lists it as uncharacterized. The record is from RefSeq and is a predicted model, not a curated record. Lineage: Eukaryota; Metazoa; Chordata; Actinopteri; Cypriniformes; Catostomidae. The transcript is spliced from 4 exons.